Molecule: ribosomal RNA, 774 nt
Filed under: uncultured Neocallimastigales
Lineage: Eukaryota; Fungi; Neocallimastigomycota; Neocallimastigomycetes; Neocallimastigales
Description: partial large subunit ribosomal RNA
Rfam family: Eukaryotic large subunit ribosomal RNA
Source: RNAcentral
UAUGUGAUCGUCUCUCGCAUAUCAAUAAGCGGAGGAAAAGAAACUAACAAGGAUUCCCCUAGUAACGGCGAGUGAAGCGGGAAGAGCUCAAAUUUGAAAUCUUAAAGGGUUUCCCUUUACGAAUUGUAGUUUAAAGAAGUGUUUUCUGUUGAGGUUUUGGUAAAAGUUCUUUGGAAUAGGACAUCAUAGAGGGUGAGAAUCCCGUAUUUGACCUUUACUUUCAACUUUGUGAUACACUUUCAAAGAGUCGGAUUGUUUGGGAAUGCAGUCCAAAAUGGGUGGUAAAUUUCAUCUAAAGCUAAAUAUUGGCGAGAGACCGAUAGCGAACAAGUACCGUGAGGGAAAGAUGAAAAGAACUUUGAAAAGAGAGUUAAACAGUACGUGAAAUUGUCAAAAGGGAAGCGUUUGACACCAGUGUUGUUUUUCUGAAAAUCAAUUAAAGAACUGUUUAUGCUAAGCUGUUUAGACUUUAUCAGCUAUCUGUUUAGUUUUGAGCUUUUCUUUAAUGCACUUUUCAGUUAACAAGUCAACAUCAAUUUCUUUUGCUGUAAAAAAGCUUGAGGAAGGUGGCUUGAGAUUCGUCUUAAGUGUUUAUAGCCUCUUGCCUAUGCAGUCGGAGAGAUUGAGGUCUGCAGCGUAGAUCCUUCGGGGCUAAAUGCAUUUGUGCUAAGUUAUAGCAUUUUAUAGACGACUUGUUGACUAUGAUUUGUCUUGUAGCUUACUCGCUUAUGUUAUUUUACCUACGCUUAGGAUGUUGAGCGCAUGUCUCUCUCU